AUGUCAGUUGUUUUGUUUAAAUGUGACUGGUUUAAACUUGAUGGAAAGAAGACUGAGCUUAAAAAUGAUGGUUUUUUCGAAAGCAUAAAUGUUGGAAGUAUGUGGUACAAGGACGAUUCUUUGAUUCUGGCUACGCAGGCUAGAAAGGUAUUUUAUUUGCUAGACACGAAGUAUGGGAAGAAUUGGCAAGUUGUGCAAACAUUUGAACAUAGGCAUCUCUUCAAUAUUAGUGAAACUGAGGGUGUACCUUUUACUGGUCCUGCAUAUCAAGAGGACGAGUGUUGUGAUGAGGAGGGUAGGAGAAUAUCUAUUUCUGACCUUACAUCCGAGAAGCCUUUGCAUAGAGAUGAUGAGCAAGGCAUUGUUUUUGAAGCUGAUGUAGUUGCUCGUUUGAUGAAAGAAAAAAGCACAAAAGUGUAUGAAGGUGGCAAUGAAGAGGAACAAGAUGAUACGGGUCUGGAGUAUUGCAGCGAAGACGAAGGAAGUGCCAUGGAUGUUGACAACGAUGAUGAGUAG
Molecule: ribosomal RNA, 516 nt
Filed under: Triticum aestivum (bread wheat)
Lineage: Eukaryota; Viridiplantae; Streptophyta; Magnoliopsida; Poales; Poaceae
Description: partial small subunit ribosomal RNA
Source: RNAcentral